CACGUAGUUAGCCGUGGCUUCCUCCUUGGGUACCGUCAUUAUCGUCCCCAAAGACAGAGUUUUACAAUCCGAAGACCUUCAUCACUCACGCGGCGUUGCUGCAUCAGGGUUUCCCCCAUUGUGCAAUAUUCCCCACUGCUGCCUCCCGUAGGAGUCUGGGCCGUGUCUCAGUCCCAAUGUGGCCGAUCACCCUCUCAGGUCGGCUACGCAUCGUCGCCUUGGUAAGCCAUUACCUUACCAACUAGCUAAUGCGACGCGGGCCCAUCUCAUAGCGGAUUGCUCCUUUUAUUGCCGUUUCAUGCGAAACUACAAUCUUAUGAGGUAUUAAUCUUCCUUUCGAAAGGCUAUCCCUCUCUAUGAGGCAGGUUGCCCACGUGUUACUCACCCGUCCGCCGCUAAUCCACUUCCGAAGAAGCUUCAUCGCUCGACUUGCAUGUGUUAGGCACGCCGCCAGCGUGUCCUGUACGCACGGAUCAACGUAC
Molecule: ribosomal RNA, 482 nt
Filed under: uncultured Clostridium sp.
Lineage: Bacteria; Bacillati; Bacillota; Clostridia; Eubacteriales; Clostridiaceae
Description: partial 16S ribosomal RNA
Source: RNAcentral